This 346-nucleotide unclassified non-coding RNA is filed under the name soil metagenome. RNAcentral describes it as "partial contains 5.8S ribosomal RNA, internal transcribed spacer 2, and large subunit ribosomal RNA". The stretch from base 1 to 120 matches the Rfam family "5.8S ribosomal RNA", at positions 35 to 154 of the family's 154-position model. The record is from RNAcentral.
GAUGAAGAACGCAGCGAAAUGCGAUACGUAAUGUGAAUUGCAGAAUUCAGUGAAUCAUCGAGUCUUUGAACGCACAUUGCGCCCCCUGGUAUUCCGGGGGGCAUGCCUGUCCGAGCGUCAUUGCUGCCCUCAAGCCCGGCUUGUGUGUUGGGUCUCGUCCCCCUUCCCGGGGGGACGGGCCCGAAAGGCAGCGGCGGCACCGCGUCCGGUCCUCGAGCGUAUGGGGCUUUGUCACCCACUCUGUAGGCCCGGCCGGCGCUUGCCGAUCAACCAAAACUUUUUUCCAGGUUGACCUCGGAUCAGGUAGGGAUACCCGCUGAACUUAAGCAUAUCAAUAAGCGGAGGA